AUUGAACGCUGGCGGCAUGCUUUACACAUGCAAGUCGAACGGUAACAGGUCUUCGGAUGCUGACGAGUGGCGAACGGGUGAGUAAUACAUCGGAACGUGCCUAGUAGUGGGGGAUAACUACUCGAAAGAGUAGCUAAUACCGCAUGAGAUCUACGGAUGAAAGCAGGGGACCUUCGGGCCUUGUGCUACUAGAGCGGCUGAUGGCAGAUUAAGUAGUUGGUGGGGUAAAGGCUCACCAAGCCGACGAUCUGUAGCUGGUCUGAGAGGACGACCAGCCACACUGGGACUGAGACACGGCCCAGACUCCUACGGGAGGCAGCAGUGGGGAAUUUUGGACAAUGGGCGAAAGCCUGAUCCAGCCAUGCCGCGUGCAGGAUGAAGGCCUUCGGGUUGUAAACUGCUUUUGUACGGAACGAAAAGGUUUGGCCUAAUAAGCUGAGCUCAUGACGGUACCGUAAGAAUAAGCACCGGCUAACUACGUGCCAGCCGCCGCAGUAA
This 498-nucleotide ribosomal RNA is filed under the name uncultured bacterium. RNAcentral describes it as "partial 16S ribosomal RNA". It matches the Rfam family "Bacterial small subunit ribosomal RNA", at positions 30 to 523 of the family's 1533-position model. The record is from RNAcentral.